CUGAAUCCCUCUCACCGGUGCCGCCGCCGCAUCAAAACAAACCCAAUAAAGAACGUGACUGAUCCGCAAAACAUCAAAGCCAUCGAAAUUCCUAGAAGAAAGGAGGCAAAACCCGCAGGUGAGAUUUGAGGUGGAGGUAAACGCCGUAACGGUUGCUCCGGUGGAUGAUUGGAAAUAUUCAACGGCAUUGGUGGUGAACGGGGG
This 204-nucleotide long non-coding RNA is filed under the name Medicago truncatula (barrel medic). RNAcentral describes it as "lncRNA gene32390". Lineage: Eukaryota; Viridiplantae; Streptophyta; Magnoliopsida; Fabales; Fabaceae. The record is from RNAcentral.